UGGGGAAUAUUGGACAAUGGGCGCAAGCCUGAUCCAGCCAUGCCGCGUGAGUGAUGAAGGCCUUAGGGUUGUAAAGCUCUUUCGCCGACGAAGAUAAUGACGGUAGUCGGAGAAGAAGCCCCGGCUAACUUCGUGCCAGCAGCCGCGGUAAUACGAAGGGGGCUAGCGUUGUUCGGAAUCACUGGGCGUAAAGCGCACGUAGGCGGAUUUGUUAAGUCAGGGGUGAAAGCCUGGAGCUCAACUCCAGAACUGCCCUUGAUACUGGCAAUCUCAGUCCGGAAGAGGUAAGUGGAACUGCGAGUGUAGAGGUGAAAUUCGUAGAUAUUCGCAAGAACACCAGUGGCGAAGGCGGCUUACUGGUCCGGUACUGACGCUGAGGUGCGAAAGCGUGGGGAGCAAAACAGGAUUAGAUACCCUGGUAGUCCACGCCGUAAACGAUGGAGGCUAGCCGUUGGCGAGCAUGCUCGUCAGUGGCGCAGCUAACGCAUUAAGCCUCCCGCCUGGGGAGUACGGUCGCAAGAUUAAAACUCAAAGGAAUUGACGGGGUCAUAGCUG
Molecule: ribosomal RNA, 555 nt
Filed under: uncultured bacterium
Lineage: Bacteria
Description: partial 16S ribosomal RNA
Rfam family: Bacterial small subunit ribosomal RNA
Source: RNAcentral